Molecule: long non-coding RNA, 481 nt
Organism: Mytilus californianus (California mussel)
Lineage: Eukaryota; Metazoa; Mollusca; Bivalvia; Mytilida; Mytilidae
Exons: 4
Source: RefSeq, a predicted model, not a curated record
CGCAAAUAGCAAUCUCAGCUUUAUUGUAGUUAGAGAUGAUGUUUUCCAAUGUGCAUUUCAUUGCACAAACUUGAAUUAUUUUGUCUACUAUAUGAACCUAUGUCUAUGUAUUAUCAGUAUUGAAAAGUAUCCAGUUACCGAUCACCCUGGCUGUGUUACUACCUGUCAAAACGACUCAGUUUUCUGCUCAUCCGGAUUUGGAAUUCCGUUAUUCAAGUAUCAGACAGAUAUGGAGAUUGUACGACCAACAAUAUAUACAUUUUCGUACCAUUGUGUUUAUAAGAAAGAUGGCUAUGAAUUUGAUGUAAAUUGCUAUCCUAGUUCAUAUUACUUUAGAUGCGACGGAAAGGAUAAUAUUGGUCAUCGAGCGAAUUGGGCUUAUGCUGUCAACUAUUGUACAAGUUUGAACACAACAUUGUCGAAUGCAGUCGGUAAUUCGUCAUCAGAUGUAUGGUCAAGAUAUUUUCGAUACGAAAAGUUC